GAGAGUCGUUGUGGGCCCCUGACUCUGGCUGCUGGGUCACUGGCCAAAAGACCCAGACACACUCUCACCACGGGGGAAUGUUCUGCUUUACGCCCGGCAGCCACGCGGCGCCUCUUAGAGGAAAAUUGUGGAGAGCUUCAUCGUUAAUCGACAAUACACGGACUCUAUUUUGAAAAAAAAAUGAAAAAAACGAUUUAUGUCGUUCAUGCUAGACGUAAACGUAAGAGGCAGUGUUUUGGAAGGUGAAGUCGUGGACAAUGUUUUGGAUGGAUAGCCUGCCACGCUGCCUCUGUGACAGUUAGUUGUGGUCACAGCACAAGAAGAUGAGAGGCUUUAUUGAGGUUUGUGUAAUCUAAAGGGCUCUCCCUCAACCCUUUGCCAUCCCGAUUAGUUGUUGCUGUGAAAAUUGAACAGCCUUGCUGGUGUGAGUGCUAUGGCGCUGCAGUGUCAGACAGACAGAGACAGGGUGGCAGUCUGCUCCUCUACCGCAGGCCCCUUACUGAGCGCUGCUGUGCUCUCUCAAACCACUAGAACGUGCUCUUCAACAGAUUAUCCACACAGUCCUCCCUCUCUCAUCUCCCUCUCCUCGAGAGCAGGGCCUUGCCCUAGGCUCUGCUUCUAAUUUGUAAAAGAGGCAGAAAGAAUGCAAUUUCUAACUGUGAAAGCAGUGUAAAACCAACACAGACGGUACUCCCAAGGUUCUAGCGCCAGAGCCGGUAUGGUAUAAACAUUCAUAGACUGGGUCCAUCCGGCCAGCACUGGACCCUGUACCUCGAUAUCCCCAGCAGGACUAAAGCCUUACUGCUGGAUUCCCAUAACACCGAGCUCUGGAAACAGAGAGGAUGAUGAUGAUGAUGAUGAUGUACAAUACAGAACAGCCAUACAUUGAUUUUGUGAAAAAAAUAUGAUUAUUAUUAAAGACUUAUUAUGAUUGUUGAAGAUAAUGAUAUUUCUACAACAUAGGGAAAACCAUGGAAAUAGUUUGACAUAGUAAUUGUAUUUCUAUGGGGAAAACAAGUGGAAUGACAUAAUCAGACUUAAAAACCGGAGUCCCUUGAAAGAGAGGUUUUGUAUUGCACUCAUAAUCUAUUUCCUCCCACUUCACAUGAGCUUGAAAGGAGCAGGAAGAGCAGAUGACUUUGAUUGACAGGCAGAAGGGGCUGUGGAUGUAUCUGUGUCUGGUUGGAGGGGAGGGAUGGGUAACUUCCCUGACUGACAGGCAGGGGGCGGGACUCUCCACAUCCAGAUGGACAGAGGAAGAAACACGACUGCUCUUGGCUCAACCUCCUCCUCUUCAGAUGGCCAUGUCCAAUUAGAACCACUGAACUCAGACCUGUUUCUAUUUUAUGACCUAAAUGACACAACUAGCUUUUCAUCUAUUGAUGUGUUUUCUUUUCUUAUGUAGUUCUAGUUCAAUAUGCUGACAUAUAGGCUAGGUUUUACAUUUACGUACAACACAGUAAGGAAUAUACUUACUGAAUUAGAAACACUUAUUCCUAACGUAUAAUAGAGAUAUAUAAAAAAAUAAAAAUAAAAAUGUGUCUAUCUAAUGUUAAGUUAAAAUACCAA
Non-coding RNA from Oncorhynchus mykiss (rainbow trout), 1569 nucleotides. Lineage: Eukaryota; Metazoa; Chordata; Actinopteri; Salmoniformes; Salmonidae. The record is from RefSeq and is a predicted model, not a curated record.